This 254-nucleotide ribosomal RNA is filed under the name uncultured bacterium. RNAcentral's name for it is "partial 16S ribosomal RNA". It matches the Rfam family "Bacterial small subunit ribosomal RNA", at positions 524 to 776 of the family's 1533-position model. The record is from RNAcentral.
UACAGAGGUCUCAAGCGUUGUUCGGAUUCAUUGGGCGUAAAGAGUUGCGUAGGUGGCAAAGUAAGUUAAUAGUGAAAGCGUGUGGCUCAACCAUACUCACAUUAUUAAAACUGCUUAGCUUGAGAAUGAGAGAGGUUACUAGAAUUCCUAGUGUAGGAGUGAAAUCCGUAGAUAUUAGGAGGAAUACCGAUGGCGUAGGCAGGUAACUGGCUCAUUUCUGACACUAAGGCACGAAAGCGUGGGGAGCAAACGGG